AUGGGAACGCGAAGAACCUUACCUAGACUUGACAUCUCCUGAAUAGUGUAGAGAUACAUGAAGCCCUUCGGGGCAGGAAGACAGGUGGUGCAUGGUUGUCGUCAGCUCGUGUCGUGAGAUGUUGGGUUAAGUCCCGCAACGAGCGCAACCCUUAUUACUAGUUGCUAACAUUAAGUUGAGCACUCUAGUGAGACUGCCCGGGGUUAACCGGGAGGAAGGUGGGGAUGACGUCAAAUCAUCAUGCCCCUUAUGUCUAGGGCUACACACGUGCUACAAUGGUGGGAACAAAGAGAUGCAAUACCGCAAGGUGGAGCUAAACUCAAAACCCCAUCCCAGUUCGGAUUGUAGGCUGAAACUCGCCUACAUGAAGCUGGAGUUGCUAGUAAUCGCGAAUCAGAAUGUCGCGGUGAAUACGUUCCCGGGUCUUGUACACACCG
RNAcentral lists this ribosomal RNA (437 nucleotides) under uncultured bacterium. RNAcentral describes it as "bacterial SSU rRNA". It matches the Rfam family "Bacterial small subunit ribosomal RNA", at positions 954 to 1392 of the family's 1533-position model. The record is from RNAcentral.